RNAcentral lists this ribosomal RNA (484 nucleotides) under uncultured bacterium. RNAcentral's name for it is "partial 16S ribosomal RNA". It matches the Rfam family "Bacterial small subunit ribosomal RNA", at positions 30 to 507 of the family's 1533-position model. The record is from RNAcentral.
AUUGAACGCUGGCGGCAGGCCUAACACAUGCAAGUCGAGCGGAUGAAGGGAGCUUGCUCCUGGAUUCAGCGGCGGACGGGUGAGUAAUGCCUAGGAAUCUGCCUGGUAGUGGGGGAUAACGUCCGGAAACGGGCGCUAAUACCGCAUACGUCCUGAGGGAGAAAGUGGGGGAUCUUCGGACCUCACGCUAUCAGAUGAGCCUAGGUCGGAUUAGCUAGUUGGUGGGGUAAAGGCCUACCAAGGCGACGAUCCGUAACUGGUCUGAGAGGAUGAUCAGUCACACUGGAACUGAGACAAGGUCCAGACUCCUAAGGGAGGCAGAAGUGGGGAAUAUUGGACAAUGGGCGAAAGCCUGAUCCAGCCAUGCCGCGUGUGUGAAGAAGGUCUUCGGAUUGUAAAGCACUUUAAGUUGGGAGGAAGGGCAGUAAGUUAAUAACUUGCUGUUUUGACGUUACCAACAGAAUAAGCACCGGCUAACUUCGUG